UAAGUCAGCCACGAAUAGGCUAUCCCAACUAACGGCGGGAAAGACUCCACGGAGGGUGUAAGACCCGUGUGGGCGCGUGUCAAAGCUGUGCGGGCUCGGCCUCUUUUCCCUGAGAGUCGCGUUGCUUGAGCAUGCAGCGCUAAGCAGGUCGUAAACUCGAUCUAAGGCUAAAUAUCUCCACAGAACCGAUAGCGAACAAGUACCGUGAGGGAAAGUUGAAAAGCACUCUGGAGAGAGAGUCAAAAGACCGUGAAACCGCUCAGAGUAUAAGCCCAUGGCAGCUUGGAAGGCAUAUCGCUAGCGGGGCAUCGGUCUCCCUUCACGGGGAGCUGGUGUUACCUUGCUUCUGUUGUGGCUCGUUAUGGUAGGGGGGUCAAGUCCACAUCCCGCCGUCGUGUGGGGAGUUCUCGGGCGUGUCGUUGCUUUGCGGUUGACUUCGGUUGGCCGUAGGGCUCUUCGCGCUUGGUUCUCCUUUUUAGACACGAACGUUCAGACUCAGUUGCAAGACGCGAUAACCAGCCCACCACGGCACGUUGUGAGGUCACCCACAGGCUUGGCUUUCGAUUGUGGUCCUUGACGCCGAGCAAGCACAAUGCGUGUCGCAGAUGUUCCUAACCGGGCAAUGGGCCAGGAUCGUGGAACGAUACGCGCUCAAAAGUCAGGACCGGGCGAUGACAAAGUUCUGGUAUGAUCCUCAUGCGACGAGCCGGCUUCUGGCCGAUUCCGAUGCUCAGGUCUCCCGCAUGUGCCGCGGGAGAUCGCUUUGGCGGUCUGGA
RNAcentral lists this ribosomal RNA (776 nucleotides) under Gammarus sp. Gsp3a. Its description in RNAcentral is "eukaryotic LSU rRNA". It matches the Rfam family "Eukaryotic large subunit ribosomal RNA", at positions 157 to 605 of the family's 3401-position model. Lineage: Eukaryota; Metazoa; Arthropoda; Malacostraca; Amphipoda; Gammaridae. The record is from RNAcentral.